RNAcentral lists this ribosomal RNA (484 nucleotides) under uncultured bacterium. RNAcentral describes it as "partial 16S ribosomal RNA". It matches the Rfam family "Bacterial small subunit ribosomal RNA", at positions 28 to 523 of the family's 1533-position model. The record is from RNAcentral.
GACGAACGCUGGCGGCGUGCUUAACGCAUGCAAGUCAAACGAUGAGCCCGGAGCUUGCUCCGGCGGAUUAGUGGCGAACGGGUGAGUAACACGUGAGUAACCUGCCCUUGACUCUGGGAUAACUGCUAGAAAUGGUAGCUAAUACCGGAUACGACCCUCGGUGGCAUCACCAGGGGGUGGAAAGAAUUUCGGUCAAGGAUGGACUCGCGGCCUAUCAGCUAGUUGGUGAGGUAACGGCUCACCAAGGCGACGACGGGUAGCCGGCCUGAGAGGGGGACCGGCCACACUGGGACUGAGACACGGCCCAGACUCCUACGGGAGGCAGCAGUGGGGAAUAUUGCACAAUGGGCGCAAGCCUGAUGCAGCAACGCCGCGUGAGGGAUGACGGCCUUCGGGUUGUAAACCUCUUUUAGUAGGGAAGAAGCGAAAGUGACGGUACCUGCAGAAAAAGCACCGGCUAACUACGUGCCAGCCGCCGCCGUAA